GGGUUGUGAGGUUAAGCGACUAAGCGUACACGGUGGAUGCCCUGGCAGUCAGAGGCGAUGAAGGACGUGCUAAUCUGCGAAAAGCGUCGGUAAGGUGAUAUGAACCGUUAUAGCCGGCGAUGUCCGAAUGGGGAAACCCAGUGCAAUUCGUUGCACUAUCGUUAACUGAAUACAUAGGUUAACGAGGCGAACCGGGGGAACUGAAACAUCUAAGUACCCCGAGGAAAAGAAAUCAACCGAGAUUCCCCCAGUAGCGGCGAGCGAACGGGGAGCAGCCCAGAGUCUGAAUCAGCUUGUGUGUUAGUGGAACGGUCUGGAAAGUCCGACGGUACAGGGUGAUAGUCCCGUACACCAAAAUGCACAGGCUGUGAACUCGAAGAGUAGGGCGGGACACGUGGUAUCCUGUCUGAAUAUGGGGGGACCAUCCUCCAAGGCUAAAUACUCCUGACUGACCGAUAGUGAACCAGUACCGUGAGGGAAAGGCGAAAAGAACCCCGGCGAGGGGAGUGAAAAAGAACCUGAAACCGUGUACGUACAAGCAGUGGGAGCACCUUCGGGUGUGACUGCGUACCUUUUGUAUAAUGGGUCAGCGACUUAUAUUCUGUAGCAAGGUUAACCGUAUAGGGGAGCCGCAGGGAAACCGAGUCUUAACUGGGCGUUAAGUUGCAGGGUAUAGACCCGAAACCCGGUGAUCUAGCCAUGGGCAGGUUGAAGGUUGGGUAACACUAACUGGAGGACCGAACCGACUAAUGUUGAAAAAUUAGCGGAUGACUUGUGGCUGGGGGUGAAAGGCCAAUCAAACCGGGAGAUAGCUGGUUCUCCCCGAAAGCUAUUUAGGUAGCGCCUCGUGAACUCAUCUUCGGGGGUAGAGCACUGUUUCGGCUAGGGGGUCAUCCCGACUUACCAACCCGAUGCAAACUACGAAUACCGAAGAAUGUUAUCACGGGAGACACACGGCGGGUGCUAACGUCCGUCGUGAAGAGGGAAACAACCCAGACCGCCAGCUAAGGUCCCAAAGUCAUGGUUAAGUGGGAAACGAUGUGGGAAGGCACAGACAGCCAGGAUGUUGGCUUAGAAGCAGCCAUCAUUUAAAGAAAGCGUAAUAGCUCACUGGUCGAGUCGGCCUGCGCGGAAGAUGUAACGGGGCUAAACCAUGCACCGAAGCUGCGGCAGCGACACGAUGUGUUGUUGGGUAGGGGAGCGUUCUGUAAGCCUGCGAAGGUGACCUGUGAGGGUUGCUGGAGGUAUCAGAAGUGCGAAUGCUGACAUAAGUAACGAUAAAGCGGGUGAAAAGCCCGCUCGCCGGAAGACCAAGGGUUCCUGUCCAACGUUAAUCGGGGCAGGGUGAGUCGACCCCUAAGGCGAGGCCGAAAGGCGUAGUCGAUGGGAAACAGGUUAAUAUUCCUGUACUUGGUGUUACUGCGAAGGGGGGACGGAGAAGGCUAUGUUAGCCGGGCGACGGUUGUCCCGGUUUAAGCAUGUAGGCUGGUUAUCCAGGCAAAUCCGGAUAAUCAAGGCUGAGGUGUGAUGACGAGGUACUACGGUGCUGAAGUAACAAAUGCCCUGCUUCCAGGAAAAGCCUCUAAGCAUCAGGUAACAUCAAAUCGUACCCCAAACCGACACAGGUGGUCAGGUAGAGAAUACCAAGGCGCUUGAGAGAACUCGGGUGAAGGAACUAGGCAAAAUGGUGCCGUAACUUCGGGAGAAGGCACGCUGGUGUGUAGGUGAAGUCCCUGCGGAUGGAGCUGAGACCAGUCGAAGAUACCAGCUGGCUGCAACUGUUUAUUAAAAACACAGCACUGUGCAAACACGAAAGUGGACGUAUACGGUGUGACGCCUGCCCGGUGCCGGAAGGUUAAUUGAUGGGGUUAUCCGUAAGGAGAAGCUCUUGAUCGAAGCCCCGGUAAACGGCGGCCGUAACUAUAACGGUCCUAAGGUAGCGAAAUUCCUUGUCGGGUAAGUUCCGACCUGCACGAAUGGCGUAAUGAUGGCCAGGCUGUCUCCACCCGAGACUCAGUGAAAUUGAACUCGCUGUGAAGAUGCAGUGUACCCGCGGCAAGACGGAAAGACCCCGUGAACCUUUACUAUAGCUUGACACUGAACAUUGAGCCUUGAUGUGUAGGAUAGGUGGGAGGCUUUGAAGCGUGGACGCCAGUCUGCGUGGAGCCAACCUUGAAAUACCACCCUUUAAUGUUUGAUGUUCUAACGUGGGCCCCUGACCGGGGUUGCGGACAGUGUCUGGUGGGUAGUUUGACUGGGGCGGUCUCCUCCCAAAGCGUAACGGAGGAGCACGAAGGUUAGCUAAUCCUGGUCGGACAUCAGGAGGUUAGUGCAAUGGCAUAAGCUAGCUUGACUGCGAGCGUGACGGCGCGAGCAGGUGCGAAAGCAGGUCAUAGUGAUCCGGUGGUUCUGAAUGGAAGGGCCAUCGCUCAACGGAUAAAAGGUACUCCGGGGAUAACAGGCUGAUACCGCCCAAGAGUUCAUAUCGACGGCGGUGUUUGGCACCUCGAUGUCGGCUCAUCACAUCCUGGGGCUGAAGUAGGUCCCAAGGGUAUGGCUGUUCGCCAUUUAAAGUGGUACGCGAGCUGGGUUUAGAACGUCGUGAGACAGUUCGGUCCCUAUCUGCCGUGGGCGCUGGAGAAUUGAGGGGGGCUGCUCCUAGUACGAGAGGACCGGAGUGGACGCAUCACUGGUGUUCGGGUUGUCAUGCCAAUGGCACUGCCCGGUAGCUAAAUGCGGAAGAGAUAAGUGCUGAAAGCAUCUAAGCACGAAACUUGCCCCGAGAUGAGUUCUCCCUGAGACUUUAAGUCUCCUGAAGGAACGUUGAAGACGACGACGUUGAUAGGCCGGGUGUGUAAGCGCAGCGAUGCGUUGAGCUAACCGGUACUAAUGAACCGUGAGGCUUAACCUUACAACGCCGAAG
RNAcentral lists this ribosomal RNA (2923 nucleotides) under Klebsiella quasipneumoniae. RNAcentral's name for it is "bacterial LSU rRNA". It matches the Rfam family "Bacterial large subunit ribosomal RNA". The record is from RNAcentral. Lineage: Bacteria; Pseudomonadati; Pseudomonadota; Gammaproteobacteria; Enterobacterales; Enterobacteriaceae.